RNAcentral lists this ribosomal RNA (253 nucleotides) under uncultured bacterium. Its description in RNAcentral is "partial 16S ribosomal RNA". It matches the Rfam family "Bacterial small subunit ribosomal RNA", at positions 524 to 776 of the family's 1533-position model. The record is from RNAcentral.
UACGAAGGGGGCUAGCGUUGUUCGGAAUCACUGGGCGUAAAGGGCGCGUAGGCGGCCGAUCAAGUCGGGGGUGAAAGCCUGUGGCUUAACCACAGAAUGGCCUUCGAUACUGUUUGGCUUGAGACCGGAAGAGGUUAGUGGAACUGCGAGUGUAGAGGUGAAAUUCGUAGAUAUUCGCAAGAACACCAGUGGCGAAGGCGGCUGACUGGUCCGGUACUGACGCUGAGGUGCGAAAGCGUGGGGAGCAAACAGG